UCCUGCGGCUCAGUCAAUAGAGCAUUGCGCUACAACACAAAGGUCAUGGGUUCAAACCCCAGAGAAAGAA
Molecule: non-coding RNA, 70 nt
Organism: Danionella cerebrum
Lineage: Eukaryota; Metazoa; Chordata; Actinopteri; Cypriniformes; Danionidae
Source: the annotation of a GenBank genome assembly